Molecule: long non-coding RNA, 272 nt
Organism: Terrapene triunguis (Three-toed box turtle)
Lineage: Eukaryota; Metazoa; Chordata; Testudines; Emydidae
Exons: 3
Source: RefSeq, a predicted model, not a curated record
UUUACUGUUUUAUAACUUUUAAGGGAAGGCAUCAGUGUAACCAGUCAGUAAAUGUGCAAAUCUCUAGUUGCUCUUAGAAGCUCUGAAGAGUUAACCAUUCAAGCUCUGAUGGGAGAUAUCCUUUCUCUCUCCUGGAAAUUUUACGGAAUGAGAAGAUAUUAUGCCGAUUGGUCUCUUUCUGAAAUUGUUCUGGCUCGCAGGAGCCCCUGCUACUUUGACAGCUGUCGCUUUGGCUGCACAGGAGACGAAUCGCCCUCCUUUUGGUGCCAGAA